AUACGGGGGGUGCAAGCGUUAAUCGGAAUUACAGGGCGUAAAGCGCGCGUAGGCGGCUACUUAAGUCAGAUGUGAAAUCCCCGGGCUCAACCUGGGAACUGCAUCUGAUACUGGGUAGCUAGAGUUUUGGAGAGGGAAGUAGAAUUUCAGGUGUAGCGGUGAAAUGCAUAGAGAUCUGAAGGAAUACCAGUGGCGAAGGCGACUUCCUGGCCAAAAACUGACGCUGAGGUGCGAAAGCGUGGGUAGCAAACGGGAUUAGAUACCCCAGUAGUCC
Molecule: ribosomal RNA, 274 nt
Filed under: uncultured bacterium
Lineage: Bacteria
Description: partial 16S ribosomal RNA
Rfam family: Bacterial small subunit ribosomal RNA
Source: RNAcentral